UUCACCUUGGAACUGCGUAAGACUCUGGACGGCGGUGAAGAUGGGCAGCCUCCUGACA
Molecule: small RNA, 58 nt
Filed under: Arabidopsis thaliana (thale cress)
Lineage: Eukaryota; Viridiplantae; Streptophyta; Magnoliopsida; Brassicales; Brassicaceae
Description: ATSL106980
Source: RNAcentral